GAUGAACGCUGGCGGCGUGCCUAAUACAUGCAAGUCGAGCGAACGGACGAUAAGCUUGCUUCUCUGAUGUUAGCGGCGGACGGGUGAGUAACACGUGGAUAACCUACCUAUAAGACUGGGAUAACUUCGGGAAACCGGAGCUAAUACCGGAUAAUAUUUUGAACCGCAUGGUUCAAAAGUGAAAGACGGUCUUGCUGUCACUUCUAGAUGGAUCCGCGCUGCAUUAGCUAGUUUGUAAGGUAACGGCUUACCAAGGCAACGAUGCAUAGCCGACCUGAGAGGGUGAUCGGCCACAUGGGAACUGAGACACGGACCAGACUCCUACGGGAGGCAGCAGUAGGGAAUCUUCCGCAAUGGGCGAAAGCCUGACGGAGCAACGCCGCGUGAGUGAUGAAGGUCUUCGGAUCGUAAAACUCGGUUAUUAGGGAAGAACAUAUGUGUAAGGAACUGUGCACAUCUUGACGGUACCUAAUCAGAAAGCCACGGCUAACUACGUG
RNAcentral lists this ribosomal RNA (497 nucleotides) under uncultured bacterium. Its description in RNAcentral is "partial 16S ribosomal RNA". It matches the Rfam family "Bacterial small subunit ribosomal RNA", at positions 28 to 507 of the family's 1533-position model. The record is from RNAcentral.